UAUAAGUCAAUUGUAAGUGUAUUGAGAUGGAAUUUUUUUUAUAAUUUUUUAACUUAUGUAAUAAUAUUUAUUAUUUGAGAUAUUGAUUCAUCAUAUUAGCUGCAUCUUAUUAUAUCUAAGAUUAUGAUAAAUCCCAAAGAUUAGGGCAAUAGUUUUAGGAGACAUGAAUGGGUCAUGCUAAUAAGACCUAAAAUCCUAAAAUCCUAAUCUUAAAUAUUCC
This 220-nucleotide long non-coding RNA is filed under the name Elaeis guineensis (African oil palm). Its description in RNAcentral is "long non-coding RNA (EGUI_LNC046345)". The record is from RNAcentral. Lineage: Eukaryota; Viridiplantae; Streptophyta; Magnoliopsida; Arecales; Arecaceae.